Molecule: non-coding RNA, 222 nt
Filed under: Methylomonas sp.
Lineage: Bacteria; Pseudomonadati; Pseudomonadota; Gammaproteobacteria; Methylococcales; Methylococcaceae
Also listed under: 1 other name
Source: RNAcentral
AUCGCCUUCCCUCUUUCAGGUGUCCUGGACCGUAUGGUCCGGCUUAAACAGGAAGUCGGUGAGCCGGUGUCAUCCACCGUUCAUGCCGACGCUGCCCCCGCAACGGUAGAUAAGUCAAGAAUUGCGAACAAGCCACUGUGCGAUUGCGCAUGGGAAGGCCGCAACUUCAGGCCGCUAAGGCCGCUUAUGAGCCCGGAGACUGGCCCGAAAGAUCAUUCGAGA